This 441-nucleotide ribosomal RNA is filed under the name uncultured Filomicrobium sp. RNAcentral's name for it is "bacterial SSU rRNA". It matches the Rfam family "Bacterial small subunit ribosomal RNA", at positions 8 to 492 of the family's 1533-position model. The record is from RNAcentral. Lineage: Bacteria; Pseudomonadati; Pseudomonadota; Alphaproteobacteria; Hyphomicrobiales; Hyphomicrobiaceae.
AGAGUUUGAUCAUGGCUCAGAACGAACGCUGGCGGCAGGCCUAACACAUGCAAGUCGAGCGCGUGUAGCAAUACACGAGCGGCGCACGGGUGAGUAGCGCGUGGGAAUCUGCCCUGUGGUGGGGGACAACCUCGGGAAACUGAGGCUAAUACCGCAUAAGUCCUUCGGGAGAAAGACUUCGGUCGCCAUAGGAGGAGCCCGCGUCCGAUUAGCUAGUUGGUGAGGUAACGGCUCACCAAGGCGACGAUCGGUAGCUGGUCUGAGAGGACGGCCAGCCACACUGGGACUGAGACACGGCCCAGACUCCUACGGGAGGCAGCAGUGGGGAGUAUUGGACAAUGGGGGAAACCCUGAUCCAGCCAUGCCGCGUGAGUGAUGAAGGCCUUCGGGUUGUAAAGCUCUUUUAGCGGGGAAGAUGAUGACGGUACCCGCAGAAUAGCC